AAUAUGGUGGUCAUUGAUCCUCUUCUCUUCUUUUAUUCUUGUUAGAGUACAGGUAUUAAUGUUGCAUUGGCUAGUCCACUGUUGAGUCGUUUUGAUGUUGUACUGGUAUUACUUGAUAGUUAUAAUGAGAAAUGGGACCUAUUUGUUUUGUCAUUUGUGUUGUCAAGAAAAGAUAGCAAGAAUGAUAAAGGACCAGAUGAACUCACCAAUCUUGAUUGGAGCUUUGAUACUUAAAUUAAAUUUUAUUACUUUUGAUAAGUGAAGUUUGUCUCUUUAUCUUUUGUCAACAACAUCCAAUAUAACUUUUUAUUAGAAAACUAGCAAUAGAUCUGGCCAGUGGAUAUUAUCAGGCAACUUAUGCAACAGAUUGAAGUAUAGGAACUAGAAUCUAUAAUUAUGAUACAAGUGUAGUGAGCUCUCCUUUGUCUGUCUUGAUGCUUCAAAUUGAAUUUAACACAAUAUAUGGCAGCUCUCAGAGCUCUGCUAUAUACAUUGUACAGUGCAGGUAAGGGAGAGAGAGGAAGUGGGUUGGAAGUGCAUGUACGUACCUGUAAGAUAAACGGAACA
This is a long non-coding RNA of Amphimedon queenslandica, 567 nucleotides long. RefSeq lists it as uncharacterized. The record is from RefSeq and is a predicted model, not a curated record. The transcript has 4 exons. NCBI's taxonomy places the organism in Eukaryota, Metazoa, Porifera, Demospongiae, Haplosclerida, Niphatidae.